AUGCAAGUCGAGCGGUUGAGGGGAGCUUGCUCCCUGAUUCAGCGGCGGACGGGUGAGUAAUGCCUAGGAAUCUGCCUAUUAGUGGGGGACAACGUUUCGAAAGGAACGCUAAUACCGCAUACGUCCUACGGGAGAAAGCAGGGGACCUUCGGGCCUUGCGCUAAUAGAUGAGCCUAGGUCGGAUUAGCUUGUUGGUGAGGUAAUGGCUCACCAAGGCGACGAUCCGUAACUGGUCUGAGAGGAUGAUCAGUCACACUGGAACUGAGACACGGUCCAGACUCCUACGGGAGGCAGCAGUGGGGAAUAUUGGACAAUGGGCGAAAGCCUGAUCCAGCCAUGCCGCGUGUGUGAAGAAGGUCUUCGGAUUGUAAAGCACUUUAAGUUGGGAGGAAGGGUUGUAGAUUAAUACUCUGCAAUUUUGACGUUACCGACAGAAUAAGCACCGGCUAACUCUGUGCCAGCAGCCGCGGUAAUACAGAGGGUGCAAGCGUUAAUCGGAAUUACUGGGCGUAAAGCGCGCGUAGGUGGUUUGUUAAGUUGGAUGUGAAAGCCCCGGGCUCAACCUGGGAACUGCAUCCAAAACUGGCAAGCUAGAGUACGGUAGAGGGUGGUGGAAUUUCCUGUGUAGCGGUGAAAUGCGUAGAUAUAGGAAGGAACACCAGUGGCGAAGGCGACCACCUGGACUGAUACUGACACUGAGGUGCGAAAGCGUGGGGAGCAAACAGGAUUAGAUACCCUGGUAGUCCACGCCGUAAACGAUGUCAACUAGCCGUUGGAAUCCUUGAGAUUUUAGUGGCGCAGCUAACGCAUUAAGUUGACCGCCUGGGGAGUACGGCCGCCAAGUUAAAACUC
RNAcentral lists this ribosomal RNA (852 nucleotides) under uncultured bacterium. RNAcentral describes it as "bacterial SSU rRNA". It matches the Rfam family "Bacterial small subunit ribosomal RNA", at positions 55 to 902 of the family's 1533-position model. The record is from RNAcentral.